Molecule: ribosomal RNA, 254 nt
Filed under: uncultured bacterium
Lineage: Bacteria
Description: partial 16S ribosomal RNA
Rfam family: Bacterial small subunit ribosomal RNA
Source: RNAcentral
CACGUAGGGGGCAAGCGUUGUCCGGAUUUAUUGGGCGUAAAGAGCUCGUAGGCGGCUCAGUAAGUCGGGUGUGAAACCUCCAGGCUCAACCUGGAGACGCCACCCGAUACUGCUGUGGCUUGAGUCCGGUAGGGGAGCGUGGAAUUCCUGGUGUAGCGGUGAAAUGCGCAGAUAUCAGGAGGAACACCAGCGGCGAAGGCGGCGCUCUGGGCCGGAACUGACGCUGAGGCGCGAAAGCUAGGGGAGCAAACAGG